GAUGAACGCUGGCGGCGUGCCUAAUACAUGCAAGUCGAGCGAACAGACGAGGAGCUUGCUCCUCUGACGUUAGCGGCGGACGGGUGAGUAACACGUGGAUAACCUACCUAUAAGACUGGGAUAACGUCGGGAAACCGGAGCUAAUACCGGAUAAUAUAUUGAACCGCAUGGAUCAAUAGUGAAAGACGGAUUUGCUGACACUUGUAGGUGGAUCCGCGCCGCAUUAGCUAGUUGGUAAGGUAACGGCUUACCAAGGCAACGAUGCGUAGCCGACCUGAGAGGGUGAUCGGCCACACUGGAACUGAGACACGGUCCAGACUCCUACGGGAGGCAGCAGUAGGGAAUCUUCCGCAAUGGGCGAAAGCCUGACGGAGCCACGCCGCGUGAGUGAUGAAGGUCUUCGGAUCGUAAAGCUCUGUUAUUAGGGAAGAACAAAUGUGUAAGUAACUAUGCACGUCUUGACGGUACCUAAUCAGAAAGCCACGGCUAACUACGUG
RNAcentral lists this ribosomal RNA (497 nucleotides) under uncultured bacterium. RNAcentral's name for it is "partial 16S ribosomal RNA". It matches the Rfam family "Bacterial small subunit ribosomal RNA", at positions 28 to 507 of the family's 1533-position model. The record is from RNAcentral.